RNAcentral lists this ribosomal RNA (549 nucleotides) under Triticum aestivum (bread wheat). RNAcentral describes it as "partial small subunit ribosomal RNA". Lineage: Eukaryota; Viridiplantae; Streptophyta; Magnoliopsida; Poales; Poaceae. The record is from RNAcentral.
AUGGAGGGAGAAUUAGGCCAACCAGAAUUCAUUACUUCUAUCUCAACUUCGAACGAGUGGAGAAAUUUCCAGAAUGUUCUUGCACAUGACAUGUAUAAUAGACAUAGGGCUGCUAGGGGUCAUCGAGAUAUGGAUGUGGACACCUCAAGUAUGUCUCGUGGAAGAGGCAAUAAUAAAAGGAAGUGGACUUCGGAUGAGGAUGAUGAACUUAUUAAACCCUUGUAUGAGUUGUCUUUGGACCCAAGGUGGAAGGCAGAUGGUAGCUUCAAAAAUGGAUACCUGGUGGUAUUGGAGAAGCACCUUGCUGAAAAGUGCCCGGGUUGUGGUAUCUCUGCAAUUCCACACAUCGAGUCAAGAGUGAGGCACUUUAGUACAAAAUUUGGUGCUCUUGAAGUAAUGUUAUCCAAAAGUGGUUUCACAUGGGAUGGAAACCGGAAGAUGAUUCAAUGUGAGAAGGCACAGUAUGAAGCAGAUUGUAAGAUUCAUAGUGAGGCAAAGGGAUUGUAUGGUGUCCCAUUUCCAUACUUUGAGCAGUUGGCUGCUAUUUAG